CCUACGGGAGGUAGCAGUAGGGAAUAUUGCUCCAUGGGGGAAACCCUGAAGCAGCAACGCCGCGUGGAGGAUGAAGGUUUUAGGAUUGUACCCUCCUUUUGUUAGAUACGAUUAUGACGGUAUCUAACGAAUAAGCACCGGCUAACGCCGUGCCAGCAGCCGCGGUAAUCCGGAGGGUGCAAGAGUUACUCGGAAUCACUGGGCGUAAAGAGUGCGUAGGCGGGUUAAUAAGUCAGAUGGGAAAUCCUGUAGCUUAACUACAGAACUGAAUUUGAAACUGUUACUCUGGAGUGUGGGAGAGGUAGGUGGAAGUCUUGGUGUAGGGGUAAAAUCCGGAGAGAUCAAGAGGAAUACUCAUUGCGAAGGCGACCUGCUGGAACAUUACUGACGCUGAUGCACGAAAGCGUGGGGAGCAAACAGGAUUAGAUACCCGGGUAGUC
Molecule: ribosomal RNA, 440 nt
Filed under: uncultured bacterium
Lineage: Bacteria
Description: partial 16S ribosomal RNA
Rfam family: Bacterial small subunit ribosomal RNA
Source: RNAcentral